RNAcentral lists this ribosomal RNA (323 nucleotides) under uncultured Methanomicrobiales archaeon. RNAcentral's name for it is "bacterial SSU rRNA". It matches the Rfam family "Archaeal small subunit ribosomal RNA", at positions 1016 to 1338 of the family's 1478-position model. The record is from RNAcentral. Lineage: Archaea; Methanobacteriati; Methanobacteriota; Methanomicrobia; Methanomicrobiales.
GUGAAGCAUCCUGUUAAGUCAGGCAACGAGCGAGACCCACGCCAACAGUGCCAGCUCGUCCUCCGGGGAUGGUGGGGACACUGUUGGGACCGCCUCUGCUAAAGAGGAGGAAGGAAUGGGCAACGGUAGGUCAGCAUGCCCCGAAUUAUCUGGGCUACACGCGGGCUACAAUGGGUGGGACAAUGGGUAUCGACACCGAAAGGUGAAGGCAAUCUCCUAAACCCAUCCGUAGUUCGGAUUGUGGGCUGCAACUCGCCCACAUGAAGCUGGAAUCUGUAGUAAUCGUGUCUCAAAAUGGCACGGUGAAUAUGUCCCUGCUCCUU